RNAcentral lists this small RNA (1611 nucleotides) under Arabidopsis thaliana (thale cress). RNAcentral's name for it is "ATSL171180". The record is from RNAcentral. Lineage: Eukaryota; Viridiplantae; Streptophyta; Magnoliopsida; Brassicales; Brassicaceae.
UUGAAAUUACAGAAUGUGAAUAUUGAAUAUAUUGUUCAAAAUGGUUGACGGCACCACUAUUUCAUAUACCGUCAGUGUUGACGAACCUUUAAGGGAUGCAUGUGGGCAUUCAAUUAUUAUAAUCGCAAAAUUAUACUCUACUCUAGGAGCACAACCAGUACAAUUUCAACGAUGAUAUUUGUGAGCAACAAGCAAUUCAAAAUUCUUUUGAUUCAUGGAAUCUCAUACCAAGACAUGCUACUCAAGAUUCAAUUAAUUUUUUGCAACUGAUUAUCUUCAUGUCAAACCAAAGCAACGUAGAAGAAAACAACACAAUGUGUGUUAUCUGUCAAGAAGAGUUUGUUAAUGAACAAAUUCUUUUCGAAUUGCCAUGCCACUACAAGAAAUAUCUACAUUAUUAGCUAGAGAAAAAAGCUAUUAAAUGUCAUCAAUAGCAUUUUCAUAAACGCUGUCUUAUGUCCCUGUUAUGGUAAACCCUCCAUAUACGAUAGCGUUUUUUCGUAUGCUACGGUAAAGUAUUCUACCAUAGCAUUAGUAAGACGCUUUCAUAUAUCGACUUAUAAUAGCGAUAUAUAGACGCUAUGAUCUAUAAUUUUUAUGAUGCUAUAAUAUUCAGUGCUAUAACUCUACUUUUAUGCGAUUGUUUUCAAAAUAUCUAAUAUAUAUAUAUAAUAAAAAACAUCCAAAAAAUAUACAUCAUUUCAUAAACCAAAAAAUAAUGUACAUAACACAAGUCUCAAUCCAAUACUUAAACUAAUAUCCUAACUUCUAUAUACAAAAUCCUUACUUCGUUCAUUACUUCUAAAGUCUCAAUCCAAUACUUAAACUAAUAUCCUAACUUCUAUGUACUACUUUUGCUAAGGCAGUUAUUUAUGAGAUCAUGCAAAAUCCUUACUUCGUUUUCUAGAUAUUGAACUCGGUUCUUUAAGGAAGUUAGCUCAGCUUCAUAGGUUGUUGUAGUCUCUUCCUUUCUUUUAUGUUUUCAGAAAAUACUCUACCUUUUCUCUUAGGUUUUCCCCAAAUACUGCAGUCUUCAUCUAUCUCACUUUCUUCAACGACGAGAUUCAUAAUAUCUUCUGUUAGAACAAGAAAUAAAACAAGUUAAAUUCAGUUUAUUAUUGAGUCAUGACCACAAACUUGAAAUACAAAAUCCUUACUUCGUUUUCUAGAAAUACAACAAAUAAAACAUGAAAUAAAACUGUCUUGACCACAAACUUAUUGAGUCACUUUAUUAGUAAAGAAAACUCUUUAUACACCUGAAAACUCAACUUGCGACUGAGACAUAUCUUUAGCCUCAGAAGAGACUAAUUCCAUUUCCUUUGUACCUUUAAUUUCUCCAAGAAAAGCAAACUCAAGACCAUUGCUUGUAUCCAUCAUCGGUGACUCAUAGACAUAACUCGAACACCACUUACUUAGAUCAUAAACUUCUGAGAAUUCUGAAAAUAGAAGUGAAGAACCACAUAAGUGAAAUAAAUGUAGCUAGUCUAACUAACCACUAACAAUCCACAAAAUAAUGUGUUUGAUGCAGAACGCCUUGAAAAAUGGUUUGAGACAAAUCAUAAAUGUCCAUGUUGUCGAUUUGAGUUACCUUCUAUAGUAUAUUAGAUUAUU